CCUACGGGAGGCAGCAGUGAGGAAUAUUGGUCAAUGGACGAGAGUCUGAACCAGCCAAGUAGCGUGAAGGAUGACUGCCCUAUGGGUUGUAAACUUCUUUUAUAUGGGAAUAAAACGUUCCACGUGUGGGAUUUUGUAUGUACCAUAUGAAUAAGGAUCGGCUAACUCCGUGCCAGCAGCCGCGGUAAUACGGAGGAUCCGAGCGUUAUCCGGAUUUAUUGGGUUUAAAGGGAGCGUAGGUGGAUUGUUAAGUCAGUUGUGAAAGUUUGCGGCUCAACCGUAAAAUUGCAGUUGAAACGGGCAGUCUUGAGUACAGUAGAGGUGGGCGGAAUUCGUGGUGUAGCGGUGAAAUGCUUAGAUAUCACGAAGAACUCCGAGUGCGAAGGCAGUUCACUGGACUGCAACUGACACUGAGGCUCGAAAGUGUGGGUAUCAAACAGGAUUAGAUACCCUAGUAGUC
This 460-nucleotide ribosomal RNA is filed under the name uncultured bacterium. Its description in RNAcentral is "partial 16S ribosomal RNA". It matches the Rfam family "Bacterial small subunit ribosomal RNA", at positions 338 to 795 of the family's 1533-position model. The record is from RNAcentral.